Molecule: non-coding RNA, 223 nt
Organism: Meleagris gallopavo (turkey)
Lineage: Eukaryota; Metazoa; Chordata; Aves; Galliformes; Phasianidae
Source: RefSeq, a predicted model, not a curated record
GCUGCUCCAUGGCAGGCACCAGGAGCAGAUGACUACGCUGGUUCUGUUCCUGCGGUUGCCUGGUCAGACUCGGCUUUUGGUCCUCAGGUGGAACCUGGAGACAGUUCCACACAGGGAUUGCUGUGUAUCAGCACGGUGCCACUGCAGGCACCCUGCACGUAUGGUUGAGAUGCUGCUGCGUGGAAGGGAGAGAUGGGUGCUGUGGAUGAUCCCCCGUUGUUCC